CCUGCAUUAUCUUCCCUAUUUAUGAGGUCUUCCUCAAAUCUCUUUUUCUUCUUCCAAAAUUUUCUUUUUCUAAGAUCUUUGUAUCUAAAAAUUCAUAAAAAUUAGAUAUCAUACCUAAAAAUGUGUAUUGGGACAUCGGACAAUAUUUUACUAUAUGUAUAUCAAUUGACCAUAUAUUAUGUACUAGUAAAUACUAAGUUCGGUAAACUAUGUAUCAAUUUAUCUAUAGAUAUAUAUUGG
This 240-nucleotide long non-coding RNA is filed under the name Elaeis guineensis (African oil palm). RNAcentral describes it as "long non-coding RNA (EGUI_LNC021096)". The record is from RNAcentral. Lineage: Eukaryota; Viridiplantae; Streptophyta; Magnoliopsida; Arecales; Arecaceae.